This is a long non-coding RNA of Trifolium pratense (red clover), 691 nucleotides long. RefSeq lists it as uncharacterized. NCBI's taxonomy places the organism in Eukaryota, Viridiplantae, Streptophyta, Magnoliopsida, Fabales, Fabaceae. The record is from RefSeq and is a predicted model, not a curated record. The transcript has 5 exons.
CCCUAGCCUCCAAUCCCUAAUUGAAGAUCAAGGCUUCCUGAACGCGAGGCACAAAUUAAAUUUCAUCUUUGUUUUCACGAUUUCCCUCAAAACAAAACCCAGAUCCUCUUCCCUGCCAUAAUUUUUCUUCGCCCUAGCUCUUCUUCGCCUUUGUUCGUCUUCAUCGUAGCUUCUGCCACCGCAGUUCCUCUUGUCGCCGCCAUAUCUCUUCCUCAACGAAGAUGAAAAUGAUGAUUACUAAAUUAUAAAUGAAGCAUAUGUGUGAUCCAUUCAGCAUCAGUUCCUUCAAUCUGAGCAAACAAAGAGUUCGGCGUAUGUAUACAUCUAACCCCAUCUUUCACAAAUGGACAGACCAUAUUGAGAUUGAUUGUCAAUGGUAUUCUGGGUAUGGAUCGUAGUUGGAUGAAAGCUAGUAGAUUAAGUGCCGAGUUUGAACAGGGCUAAGCAAGGGCUAUAUCGAUAUCUUCUGUGAACUUACUAUUUGGGACACAGAACCUGACUGGAAGACAAGGAAUGACGAGGGAUCCGGUGAUGAGGAGUGCUGCUAAUGGAAGGCAGAAUGGUUUCACUGAGGAUGAAUUGUCAGAUUCUGCGGCAAGCUCAGAAUUUUCUACCACACAAGUAGGAAAUAGUAUCAAUGGUUCUCUUCCAAAAAGUAAGGCUUAUAUGUUAGCAGGGGAUGCUUCUAUGU